CAGCACAUUCGCGCUCAGAAAGAAGCGCGAAUCGUUAAAGCAGACUAACGUGGAAACAGGUGAAGAGACGAAGGUAAGCGAUACGGUUCGUCACUGUGAAAUCCAGCUUCAUGGCUUUAACACUGAACAAAUCCGGUCCGCACAGGCUCAGAGACAGACUUCAUCCUUUUACUUUAACCGUACAUGAAAAAUGAAGCUGAGACAGGAGCUCAGUGUCACAGCUGGAACAACAUCAGCUGACAUUAAAGAAAAGCAGACAUUUGUUCCCUGAUAGCAAAGAUGGAGAUGGAGAGCGUGAGGGAACUACAGAGAGGAGGACACGGGCUGCCCUACAUCAGCAGGAGGGAGGACGACCCCCCAGUGUGAGGACGACCCCCACCACAUGAAUGGGGGACAGGAGGCGCAGCUUCCAGCCCAGCCGUUUCCCAGCAUGCCUCAGCUGUGGAGCUGUAUGAGGGAGAGUUGUUUGUCCUGCUGCCCUGUGAGUUUCCCACUUUUGAACUGGACAGCCCCACAGUGGUGUGGAGUCGCUCCGACCUCAGUCCUCCAACCGUCCACCAGCUUCAAGGAGACAAACUGAAAGAUCCAAACCAGCGUUACAGCGGCCGAACAUCCAUGAAGACUGACGCUCUGGAAACUGGAGAGCUCAGCCUGAACCUGACCAACCUCCAACUGUCUGACAGCGCCACCUACACCUGCUCUGUCAGAUCAUUUAGACUGAGAAUGGAGACUGAGAGAUGUCCCACUGCAGGUCAAAGGUCAACAUCAAACCAAAACUCUGCUGUAGACAAUCACAAAUUGAGAAAUUGAUCUAUAAUGUUGAUGUAAUGUUGGAUCUAAGCUGGGUUUUCUGAGCUUUGGUUCCACAAUGGCAUGUUUAAAAACACUGGGAACACUCCAGUCUGAAGAAAAGCACUGAAAAGAUUUACAACCCAAGGACCAAUAGUGUCAAAGACUUUGCUACAAAGCUUUGAGGGGAGAAUAUCUGAGGGAACUGAAGACGGCUUCUUUUUAUCUACCAGGGUCACCAUAUCAUCAAAUGUCACAGGUGUAAAAGUAGACCAGGAGUGAGAUGCCAGAACAAGAAAGCUUUGGGGAGAUUUGUCAUUGAUUGUUUUGAUCUUAUCAACAGAAAAUCAGACUUUUGUUGCUGUCUGCUUUAUAGGUGAGGCAGCUCGAGACACAACAGUCAAACAAAACUUUUCUGAUAUGAACUGUUAAAUGGGUUCAAAUAUUGAGGGUGAGCACAAAAACAACAAUUGGUCCAGAAGAGUUGGUCAAACAAUGAUUUAAUGAAUACACGCAGUGUGGGAGAUGAACACUGUAAAACAUUCAGCAUCGAUCUCGCCCCAAAAUUACACAUGCAACUGUCUUAUAGCAUCAGGGAAUAUUUUCUGACGCCUCCUCUUACGUCAAACAGAUACAAUACAGACGUAAGUUUCAAACCACAAAUGUUCUGUUGACUUUUGACACAUGGGAAAAGAACAUUUCCUCCGUCUGUAGGCCAGGUGCAUUCUGUUGACGUCUAACUUUUCGCUUAUCUCCUGAAAACAUGAAAAAUUGUGUCUGCCACUCUUACCCAAAACAUGAACUUAACUACUGUGUGUGUGUGUGUGUGUGUGUGUGUGUGUGUGUGUGUGUGUGUGUAUCGACCUCACUCGAACUCUGACUUAUGAAAAGAGAGGCCAAUUCUCAUGUGGAUAAUAACCGAACUGAAAGUAUGUAUGUAAUAGGUUGACUGCACCUGUAAUACAAGUUUUAACGUAAGGCCAACAGCUUCAAUAAAU
Molecule: long non-coding RNA, 1787 nt
Organism: Astatotilapia calliptera (eastern happy)
Lineage: Eukaryota; Metazoa; Chordata; Actinopteri; Cichliformes; Cichlidae
Source: Ensembl